This 231-nucleotide long non-coding RNA is filed under the name Mytilus galloprovincialis (Mediterranean mussel). The record is from RNAcentral. Lineage: Eukaryota; Metazoa; Mollusca; Bivalvia; Mytilida; Mytilidae.
ACUAUAAGGUGACAAUCGGUAAACUUCGGUUUCAAAACACGGCAUUUAAUGAGCAGCCAUAUUUGUUAAAUCAUAACAGACAGAGAGAAAAAAAAAUGACGAUUAUUCGUUAUAUUUGCGUAAAAAAUGAGAAAAUCGCGCACAGAGGACUAAGUUUAUGAUAUAUACAUGCAUUGGUAAAAGAAUUGGAUAAACAUUUUUUUUCACCACUCACUCGUUUCAUAUGACUUU